This 497-nucleotide ribosomal RNA is filed under the name uncultured bacterium. RNAcentral's name for it is "partial 16S ribosomal RNA". It matches the Rfam family "Bacterial small subunit ribosomal RNA", at positions 28 to 507 of the family's 1533-position model. The record is from RNAcentral.
GACGAACGCUGGCGGCGUGCCUAAUACAUGCAAGUUGAGCGCUGAAGGUUGGUACUUGUACCAACUGGAUGAGCAGCGAACGGGUGAGUAACGCGUGGGGAAUCUGCCUUUGAGCGGGGGACAACAUUGGGAAACGAAUGCUAAUACCGCAUAAAAACUUUAAACACAAGUUUUAAGUUUGAAAGAUGCAAUGGCAUCACUCAAAGAUGAUCCCGCGUUGUAUUAGCUAGGUGGUGAGGUAAAGGCUCACCAAGGCGAUGAUACAUAGCCUACCUGAGAGGGUGAUCGGGCACAUUGGGACUGGGAACCGGCCCAAACUCCUACGGGAGGCAGCAGUAGGGAAUCUUUGGCAAUUGACGAAAGUCUGACCGAGAACAGCCGCGUGAGUGAAGAAGGUUGUCGGAUCGUAAAACUCUGUUGGUAGAGAAGAAAGUUGGUGAGAGUGGAAAGCUCAUCAAGUGACGGUAACUACACAGAAAGGGACGGCUAACUACGUG